This 1552-nucleotide ribosomal RNA is filed under the name Salmonella enterica subsp. enterica serovar Moero. RNAcentral's name for it is "bacterial SSU rRNA". It matches the Rfam family "Bacterial small subunit ribosomal RNA". Lineage: Bacteria; Pseudomonadati; Pseudomonadota; Gammaproteobacteria; Enterobacterales; Enterobacteriaceae. The record is from RNAcentral.
AAAUUGAAGAGUUUGAUCAUGGCUCAGAUUGAACGCUGGCGGCAGGCCUAACACAUGCAAGUCGAACGGUAACAGGAAGCAGCUUGCUGCUUCGCUGACGAGUGGCGGACGGGUGAGUAAUGUCUGGGAAACUGCCUGAUGGAGGGGGAUAACUACUGGAAACGGUGGCUAAUACCGCAUAACGUCGCAAGACCAAAGAGGGGGACCUUCGGGCCUCUUGCCAUCAGAUGUGCCCAGAUGGGAUUAGCUUGUUGGUGAGGUAACGGCUCACCAAGGCGACGAUCCCUAGCUGGUCUGAGAGGAUGACCAGCCACACUGGAACUGAGACACGGUCCAGACUCCUACGGGAGGCAGCAGUGGGGAAUAUUGCACAAUGGGCGCAAGCCUGAUGCAGCCAUGCCGCGUGUAUGAAGAAGGCCUUCGGGUUGUAAAGUACUUUCAGCGGGGAGGAAGGUGUUGUGGUUAAUAACCGCAGCAAUUGACGUUACCCGCAGAAGAAGCACCGGCUAACUCCGUGCCAGCAGCCGCGGUAAUACGGAGGGUGCAAGCGUUAAUCGGAAUUACUGGGCGUAAAGCGCACGCAGGCGGUCUGUCAAGUCGGAUGUGAAAUCCCCGGGCUCAACCUGGGAACUGCAUUCGAAACUGGCAGGCUUGAGUCUUGUAGAGGGGGGUAGAAUUCCAGGUGUAGCGGUGAAAUGCGUAGAGAUCUGGAGGAAUACCGGUGGCGAAGGCGGCCCCCUGGACAAAGACUGACGCUCAGGUGCGAAAGCGUGGGGAGCAAACAGGAUUAGAUACCCUGGUAGUCCACGCCGUAAACGAUGUCUACUUGGAGGUUGUGCCCUUGAGGCGUGGCUUCCGGAGCUAACGCGUUAAGUAGACCGCCUGGGGAGUACGGCCGCAAGGUUAAAACUCAAAUGAAUUGACGGGGGCCCGCACAAGCGGUGGAGCAUGUGGUUUAAUUCGAUGCAACGCGAAGAACCUUACCUGGUCUUGACAUCCACAGAACUUUCCAGAGAUGGAUUGGUGCCUUCGGGAACUGUGAGACAGGUGCUGCAUGGCUGUCGUCAGCUCGUGUUGUGAAAUGUUGGGUUAAGUCCCGCAACGAGCGCAACCCUUAUCCUUUGUUGCCAGCGAUUCGGUCGGGAACUCAAAGGAGACUGCCAGUGAUAAACUGGAGGAAGGUGGGGAUGACGUCAAGUCAUCAUGGCCCUUACGACCAGGGCUACACACGUGCUACAAUGGCGCAUACAAAGAGAAGCGACCUCGCGAGAGCAAGCGGACCUCAUAAAGUGCGUCGUAGUCCGGAUUGGAGUCUGCAACUCGACUCCAUGAAGUCGGAAUCGCUAGUAAUCGUGGAUCAGAAUGCCACGGUGAAUACGUUCCCGGGCCUUGUACACACCGCCCGUCACACCAUGGGAGUGGGUUGCAAAAGAAGUAGGUAGCUUAACCUUCGGGAGGGCGCUUACCACUUUGUGAUUCAUGACUGGGGUGAAGUCGUAACAAGGUAACCGUAGGGGAACCUGCGGUUGGAUCACCUCCUUACCUUAAAGAA